Acanthosepion pharaonis is the source of this 108-nucleotide non-coding RNA. The record is from the annotation of a GenBank genome assembly. NCBI's taxonomy places the organism in Eukaryota, Metazoa, Mollusca, Cephalopoda, Sepiida, Sepiidae.
UUACGGUCACAUCACAUUGAAACACCAGUUCUCAUAUGAUCAUCAAAGUUAAGCAAUAUCGAGCAGUACAUAGAUAGGUGACCGCUUGGGAAUACCAGGUUCUGUAAG